This 187-nucleotide ribosomal RNA is filed under the name Paramisgurnus dabryanus. RNAcentral's name for it is "partial small subunit ribosomal RNA". Lineage: Eukaryota; Metazoa; Chordata; Actinopteri; Cypriniformes; Cobitidae. The record is from RNAcentral.
ACGAGAGGCCCCAGUUGAUGAACACGGCGUAAAGGGUGGUUAAGGUUUAACUAAAAUAAAGUCAAAAGACUUCUUGGCCGUCAUACGCCCCUGAACAUCUGAAGCCCAUAUACGAAGGUAACUUUAAUAUUAGCCCACCUGACCCCACGAAAACUGAGAAACAAACUGGGAUUAGAUACCCCACUAU